GCAAGUCGAACGGUAACAGGGAGCUUGCUCCGCUGACGAGUGGCGAACGGGUGAGUAAUACAUCGGAACGUGCCCAGUAAUGGGGGAUAGCUCGGCGAAAGCCGGAUUAAUACCGCAUACGCCCUGAGGGGGAAAGUGGGGGACCGCAAGGCCUCACGUUAUUGGAGCGGCCGAUGGCUGAUUAGCUAGUUGGUAGGGUAAAGGCCUACCAAGGCGACGAUCCCUAGCUGGUCUGAGAGGAUGAUC
Molecule: ribosomal RNA, 246 nt
Filed under: uncultured bacterium
Lineage: Bacteria
Description: partial 16S ribosomal RNA
Rfam family: Bacterial small subunit ribosomal RNA
Source: RNAcentral